RNAcentral lists this ribosomal RNA (503 nucleotides) under uncultured bacterium. RNAcentral describes it as "partial 16S ribosomal RNA". It matches the Rfam family "Bacterial small subunit ribosomal RNA", at positions 30 to 523 of the family's 1533-position model. The record is from RNAcentral.
AUUGAACGCUGGCGGCAGGCUUAACACAUGCAAGUCGAGCGGGGUGAUGGUGCUUGCACUAUCACUUAGCGGCGGACGGGUGAGUAAUGCUUAGGAAUCUGCCUAUUAGUGGGGGACAACAUCUCGAAAGGGAUGCUAAUACCGCAUACGUCCUACGGGAGAAAGCAGGGGAUCACUUGUGACCUUGCGCUAAUAGAUGAGCCUAAGUCGGAUUAGCUAGUUGGUGGGGUAAAGGCCUACCAAGGCGACGAUCUGUAGCGGGUCUGAGAGGAUGAUCCGCCACACUGGGACUGAGACACGGCCCAGACUCCGACGGGAGGCAGCAGUGGGGAAUAUUGGACAAUGGGGGGAACCCUGAUCCAGCCAUGCCGCGUGUGUGAAGAAGGCCUUAUGGUUGUAAAGCACUUUAAGCGAGGAGGAGGCUUACCUAGUUAAUACCCAAGAUGAGUGGACGUUACUCGCAGAAUAAGCACCGGCUAACUCUGUGCCAGCCGCCGCCGUAA